Molecule: long non-coding RNA, 166 nt
Organism: Myotis davidii
Lineage: Eukaryota; Metazoa; Chordata; Mammalia; Chiroptera; Vespertilionidae
Exons: 3
Source: RefSeq, a predicted model, not a curated record
AUGUUAACAUGUGGCCUUUACAGAAUUUGGCCUUUUGAAACUAGCUUACAAAUACAAAGUUACUCUUUGCUUACCUGUCCUAACCUAUUUAAUGUUACACCAACAGACCCCCUUUCCCAUAGCUUUUACCAUGAAGAGACAGGCAAUCCUGGGGAAAAAAAUCCCA